GUCUUGAUAGUAUAAUAAUUACUCUGGUCUUGUAAGCCAGAAAUGAAGAUUAAAUCUUCUCAAGGCA
This is a non-coding RNA of Mesocricetus auratus (golden hamster), 67 nucleotides long. Lineage: Eukaryota; Metazoa; Chordata; Mammalia; Rodentia; Cricetidae. The record is from Ensembl.